AAUAUAUACUCAAUCACUGAGUUUACAUAAUUGGAACAUAACAGUGAAGCAAACUUCCCCAUCUUCCGCUUAGCUCUCAUUUCUGCAUGUAUCCUCGUGGCCACAUAAGCUGCCCAAUUGAAUACCAUACCUUCUAGUGUUCCUAUCAUGGAAAACAGUAAUCGCUUCGUCAUGUAGGUGGUAUGCCGAUUCAAUGUUAACCACUUCUAAACGAACCGCAUCUAUUCCAUAAGUUCAGGUGUAAGUGCCUCAUGUAUCUUCUAUCCUUGAUUUUACUCGAGAGACGACAUUCCUCCUUUAAAGUAGCUUCCUCGCCUGAAGUCAUUUGACGCAUCUCCUCUCACCUCAAGCUCUUCGGUUGGUAAAUACAAGACCUUAUGUAAGAUAUUCUCAUCUAUCACAAUCAAGACUCCUCUUACCACAC
This 424-nucleotide long non-coding RNA is filed under the name Physcomitrium patens. RNAcentral describes it as "long non-coding RNA (PPAT_LNC000466)". Lineage: Eukaryota; Viridiplantae; Streptophyta; Bryopsida; Funariales; Funariaceae. The record is from RNAcentral.